GAGAACCUACGGGGGGCAGCAGUGGGGAAUAUUGGACAAUGGGGGAAACCCUGAUCCAGCGACGCCGCGUGAGAGAAGAAGUAUUUCGGUACGUAAAGCUCUAUCAGCAGGAAAGAAAAUGACGGUACCUGACUAAGAAGCCCCGGCUAACUACGUGCCAGCAGCCGCGGUAAUACGUAGGGGGCAAGCGUUAUGCGGAUUUACUGGGUGUAAAGGGAGCGUAGACGGCAGCGCAAGUCUGGAGUGAAAUGCCGGGGCCCAACCCCGGACCGGCUCUGGAAACUGUGAAGCUGGAGUGCAG
Molecule: ribosomal RNA, 301 nt
Filed under: uncultured bacterium
Lineage: Bacteria
Description: bacterial SSU rRNA
Rfam family: Bacterial small subunit ribosomal RNA
Source: RNAcentral